GGCUCAUGUGAUGGGGAGGUUGGGGUCUGGUGCUCACCGGGCAAGGAGAGCAGAGAGGAGCCAUAAGCAAAUGGAAGAGUGCAUAGGCCCAGGGCUCUGGGGACAGAGCAUCUGCAAUUUGGCAAGCCAACCAGAAAAUUACAAAGAUGGUUCAAUAUGCAGGCAGGGGCUCUGGGUGGGAGAAGGAUGGGCAAGAGUCACAGAAGCGAGGGGACACUGGGCUACUGAGAGGGGAUCUGUGACAGCCUCUGACUGGGCCAGGGCCUCUUCCCAUCAGCCUCACCCGGACAUGCAUUCCAAGGCCCCCCACGGAGCUACAGGCUGUGCCGGAGCUAGGCACUGGUGCACAUCCCGCAGCUUGUGGGGUCUCCGUGGCCUCUGGGGGAGACUUCCCCACCCUGGCUUUCCUUCUGUCCUUCUCAAGCUCUACUCAGGAUGCCCCGUCCUCAGCCUACCUGCCCGGACAGGAGGAGGUAACAGCAGCAGAGAUUCAGGGCAGACCUUGGGGAGACGCCCAUCAAAGCAGGUGAGGAUGGGGAAAAAGGACCGAGGGUGGGCCCAUCGGUCCGUUCCAGAACUCCCACUGGACCGUCAAACGGGGUUGAGCGGACAGCUGAGCCCUGGAGCCUGGGGACGAGAUGUUCCAUCCUCUGAGCAGACUGAGGCCGGAUGCACUGCUUGGAGCCGACGCCGCACCAGCUCCAGCUCCCUUCCUUGGCUGCAGGGUCUUCUUUGGAGUGAGGGUCGGCCUCUCGGCGCCUCAGGGAGCGCAGGGCCCUUCGGAGGCAAGUGGUGUGGGGGCCUCUCCCAUGUGGGGGGCUCUGUUAGACCUCCUUCCUUCCUCUUCUCGUUGGCGGCGAGGCUGGAGGGUGUGCUCUUUCCAGACCCUUCUCUCUCACGUGUCUGAACAGUCAGAGGAAGCGGCAGGGAGAGGAUGAACCAUCCGAGCCCUGAGAGCUGGUGGGAACCGUGAGAGACCAUNAUUGUAGGAGGAGGUAACAGCAGCAGAGAUUCAGGGCAGACCUUGGGGAGACGCCCAUCAAAGCAGGUGAGGAUGGGGAAAAAGGACCGAGGGUGGGCCCAUCGGUCCGUUCCAGAACUCCCACUGGACCGUCAAACGGGGUUGAGCGGACAGCUGAGCCCUGGAGCCUGGGGACGAGAUGUUCCAUCCUCUGAGCAGACUGAGGCCGGAUGCACUGCUUGGAGCCGACGCCGCACCAGCUCCAGCUCCCUUCCUUGGCUGCAGGGUCUUCUUUGGAGUGAGGGUCGGCCUCUCGGCGCCUCAGGGAGCGCAGGGCCCUUCGGAGGCAAGUGGUGUG
RNAcentral lists this long non-coding RNA (1319 nucleotides) under Sus scrofa (pig). Its description in RNAcentral is "lncRNA (ENSSSCG00015036732.1)". Lineage: Eukaryota; Metazoa; Chordata; Mammalia; Artiodactyla; Suidae. The record is from RNAcentral.